Molecule: long non-coding RNA, 940 nt
Filed under: Brachypodium distachyon (stiff brome)
Lineage: Eukaryota; Viridiplantae; Streptophyta; Magnoliopsida; Poales; Poaceae
Description: long non-coding RNA (BDIS_LNC002437)
Source: RNAcentral
UCUGGUGGCUAGCAUUUAGAGUGCCGUAGGGGAAGCUCUUUGGUUCGAGUCACCAAGGCCUGAUUUUUGUUCCUCGUCAAGCAGUUGAGGUAUAUUUGGAUUUUAGAAAAAAUAAAAUCGCUAAACGGGCCAGCCCGUCGGGCUCGGGCACGGCACAAGAUGUUAUUCCGGCCUGCCUAGCCCGGUUAAUUAUGUGCCGGGCCAAGCCCACCAGGCUUUCGGGCUUUUCCGAAAAGCCCGGCCCGAUAGCCACCUAUAGCCUUGUCCUUUUUUCCUUGGCCGUUUUCGUUUUCCCCACCCCUCGGCUUUUGUCUGUUUUUCUUCUGAAACUACUAAUUGAGCACGUGCAAUUUCUUGAUUCAAAUUUGUCCAAAUAUGAAUUUAUCUAUUAUUAAAAAACGUCUAGAUACAUGUAAUAUUUGGACAACAAUUUAGGAUCGGAGGGAGUAAUACAUAAAAACAUUAAAUAAAAAAAUGUUGAAGUGCUUGAAAGCGUCAUAAAAUUCAAAUCAUCAGGCACUCAAUUAGCUCUCCUCCCCACAGGGCCUUCUCUUCGGUCUUCACCCCCACCAGCCACCAGCACCUGGCAAAGGGGCAAUUUGCUUAUUGGUAUGUAACUGUGUCGACAAUGCAUAGUGCCAAACAAACAUGUACUUACAGUUCUAAGCACCACGUUCUCCAUGCAGAUACUAAAUCCUCUUGAAGUUUUCGGGCAUCUUCAGACUUCAAAGAUAUCAGAUGUGCUCGAAUCUGUUAAACGACAGAACAUAUCAUCAAAUGGUAAAAACAUCCCCCCUUCAUAUCAAUGAAUUGACGUUCAUAGGUACGGACAAAGAAACAUGCAAGAAGUGAUGAACUUCAAAUUAAAACUUCAGUUUUCACAAACCUUGUUGCGACAGUGAAAGACUGUUUAGUUCUUGAAAGAGACAACUCUGACAAU